Molecule: ribosomal RNA, 26 nt
Filed under: Eimeria intestinalis
Lineage: Eukaryota; Apicomplexa; Conoidasida; Eucoccidiorida; Eimeriidae
Description: large subunit ribosomal RNA
Source: RNAcentral
UCUUAAAAAAGAUAGCGUUAUAGCUC